CAGCAGCCGCGGGAAUACGAAGGGUGCAAGCGUUAAUCGGAAUUACUGGGCGUAAAGCGUGCGUAGGCGGUGAGUUAAGUCUGCUGUGAAAUCCCCGGGCUCAACCUGGGAAUGGCAGUGGAUACUGGCUCGCUAGAGUGUGUCAGAGGAUGGUGGAAUUCCCGGUGUAGCGGUGAAAUGCGUAGAGAUGUGGAGGAAUACCGAUGGCGAAGGCAGCCCCCUGGGCCAAUACUGACGCUCAUGCACGAAAGCGUGGGGAGCAAACAGGAUUAGAUACCCCUGUAGUCCCUGUCUCUUAUAC
RNAcentral lists this ribosomal RNA (301 nucleotides) under uncultured bacterium. RNAcentral's name for it is "partial 16S ribosomal RNA". It matches the Rfam family "Bacterial small subunit ribosomal RNA", at positions 509 to 807 of the family's 1533-position model. The record is from RNAcentral.